RNAcentral lists this ribosomal RNA (253 nucleotides) under uncultured bacterium. RNAcentral describes it as "partial 16S ribosomal RNA". It matches the Rfam family "Bacterial small subunit ribosomal RNA", at positions 524 to 776 of the family's 1533-position model. The record is from RNAcentral.
UACGAAGGGGGCUAGCGUUGCUCGGAAUCACUGGGCGUAAAGGGCGCGUAGGCGGACUCUUAAGUCGGGGGUGAAAGCCCAGGGCUCAACCCUGGAAUUGCCUUCGAAACUGGCGAGCUUGAGUACGAAAGAGGAUCGCGGAAUUCCCGGUGUAGAGGUGAAAUUCGUAGAUAUCGGGAGGAACACCGGUGGCGAAGGCGGCGAUCUGGGUCGAUACUGACGCUGAGGUGCGAAAGCGUGGGGAGCAAACAGG